UACGUAGGGUGCGAGCGUUAAUCGGAAUUACUGGGCGUAAAGUGUGCGCAGGCGGCCAUGCAAGACAGAUGUGAAAUCCCCGGGCUCAACCUGGGAACUGCAUUUGUGACUGCAAGGCUAGAGUACGGCAGAGGGGGAUGGAAUUCCGCGUGUAGCAGUGAAAUGCGUAGAUAUGCGGAGGAACACCAAUGGCGAAGGCAAUCCCCUGGGCCUGUACUGACGCUCAUGCACGAAAGCGUGGGGAGCAAACAGG
This 253-nucleotide ribosomal RNA is filed under the name uncultured bacterium. RNAcentral's name for it is "partial 16S ribosomal RNA". It matches the Rfam family "Bacterial small subunit ribosomal RNA", at positions 524 to 776 of the family's 1533-position model. The record is from RNAcentral.